RNAcentral lists this ribosomal RNA (950 nucleotides) under Lacticaseibacillus paracasei. RNAcentral describes it as "bacterial SSU rRNA". It matches the Rfam family "Bacterial small subunit ribosomal RNA", at positions 531 to 1475 of the family's 1533-position model. The record is from RNAcentral. Lineage: Bacteria; Bacillati; Bacillota; Bacilli; Lactobacillales; Lactobacillaceae.
UAGCCAAGCCUUAUCCUGAAUUUACUGGAAAUAAAGCGAGCGCAGGCGGUUUUUGUAAGUCUGAAGAGAAAGCCGUCGGACUUAACCGAGGAAGCGCAUCGGAAACUGGGAAACUUGAGUGCAGAAGAGGACAGUGGAACUCCAUGUGUAGCGGUGAAAUGCGUAGAUAUAUGGAAGAACACCAGUGGCGAAGGCGGCUGUCUGGUCUGUAACUGACGCUGAGGCUCGAAAGCAUGGGUAGCGAACAGGAUUAGAUACCCUGGUAGUCCAUGCCGUAAACGAUGAAUGCUAGGUGUUGGAGGGUUUCCGCCCUUCAGUGCCGCAGCUAACGCAUUAAGCAUUCCGCCUGGGGAGUACGACCGCAAGGUUGAAACUCAAAGGAAUUGACGGGGGCCCGCACAAGCGGUGGAGCAUGUGGUUUAAUUCGAAGCAACGCGAAGAACCUUACCAGGUCUUGACAUCUUUUGAUCACCUGAGAGAUCAGGUUUCCCCUUCGGGGGCAAAAUGACAGGUGGUGCAUGGUUGUCGUCAGCUCGUGUCGUGAGAUGUUGGGUUAAGUCCCGCAACGAGCGCAACCCUUAUGACUAGUUGCCAGCAUUUAGUUGGGCACUCUAGUAAGACUGCCGGUGACAAACCGGAGGAAGGUGGGGAUGACGUCAAAUCAUCAUGCCCCUUAUGACCUGGGCUACACACGUGCUACAAUGGAUGGUACAACGAGUUGCGAGACCGCGAGGUCAAGCUAAUCUCUUAAAGCCAUUCUCAGUUCGGACUGUAGGCUGCAACUCGCCUACACGAAGUCGGAAUCGCUAGUAAUCGCGGAUCAGCACGCCGCGGUGAAUACGUUCCCGGGCCUUGUACACACCGCCCGUCACACCAUGAGAGUUUGUAACACCCGAAGCCGGUGGCGUAACCCUUUUAGGGAGCGAGCCGUCUAAGGGACAAAAGAUGGU